UCCAGCCCUGCCUGCGCCCAACAGAGACUUGACACCCAGAACUCUUCCAAGAUGCUGAGGGCCGCGGUCACAGGAUUGGCUCGUCUCCCUGUUCAUGAAGACACCAUCACUGGGAGCAGGCCCUCUGGUUGAGGCAGAAAGGACAUCCUCAGCCCCUAAUGCUAGUCCAUAGGAGUUGCUUCAUUCCGAGUCAGUUGUGGAAGGUGAGGUUGCAAUUUGGGAUAAGAACCAUCCAAGAGAGUGCAACCGCUUGCCUGAAUCUCUCUUCUCUAGGUCAAGUGGACAGGGCACGGACGAUAAACAACCAGAGACUUUCCCACCUGCCCAUCCAUUACUAGAACAGACAGUUGUAACUGGCCUCAACAUGGUUGGUCACAAACCGGAUCUUCGAGAAACUCCCUUUCCCUGCGUAGUUCUGUGGGAGGAGAGGAAUGAAGCAGAACGGAUACAUGUAAGGUGAGUUGCACAGAGCAAACAAGCAGAGUUGAAGUAUUCAUCUCUAGUUCACGUACUGAAAUCCCUGCUUCUACUCCAGCAGGGAGCAAAAUUAAAUUUUUGCUUGUUUUGUUUUCUUUUAAAGGGACGCAAUUAAGAUUGUG
Molecule: long non-coding RNA, 599 nt
Filed under: Struthio camelus australis
Lineage: Eukaryota; Metazoa; Chordata; Aves; Struthioniformes; Struthionidae
Description: lncRNA (ENSSCUG00000014935.1)
Source: RNAcentral